GGGGACUCGGGUAGUGGCGCACGGGUGCGUAACGCGUGGGAACCUGCCUUUAGGUUCGUAAUAACUCAGAGAAAUUUGAGCUAAUACCGGAUAAUGUCUUCGGACAAAGAUUUAUCGCCUUUAGAUGGGCCCGCGUUAGAUUAGAUAGUUGGUGGGGUAAUGGCCUACCAAGUCGACGAUCUAUAGCUGGUCUGAGAGGAUGAUCAGCCACACUGGGACUGAGACACGGCCCAGACUCCUACGGGAGGCAGCAGUGGGGAAUAUUGGACAAUGGGCGAAAGCCUGAUCCAGCAAUGCCGCGUGAGUGAUGAAGGCCUUAGGGUUGUAAAGCUCUUUUACUAGGGAUGAUAAUGACAGUACCUAGAGAAUAAGCUCCGGCUAACUCCGUGCCAGCAGCCGCGGUAAUACGGAGGGAGCUAGCGUUGUUCGGAAUUACUGGGCGUAAAGCGCGCGUAGGCAGCUUAUCAAGUCAGGGGUGAAAUCCCGGAGCUCAACUCCGGAACUGCCCUUGAAACUGGUUGGCUAGAAUAUUGGAGAGGUAAGUGGAAUUCCGAGUGUAGAGAUGAAAUUCGUAGAUAUUCGGAAGAACACCAGUGGCGAAGGCGACUUACUGGACAAUUAUUGACGCUGAGGUGCGAAAGCGUGGGGGA
This 650-nucleotide ribosomal RNA is filed under the name uncultured bacterium. RNAcentral describes it as "bacterial SSU rRNA". It matches the Rfam family "Bacterial small subunit ribosomal RNA", at positions 82 to 768 of the family's 1533-position model. The record is from RNAcentral.